UACGUAGGCAGCGAGCGUUGUUCGGAGUUACUGGGCGUAAAGAGUGCGUAGGCAGUUUUCUAAGUUUGGUGUGAAAUCUCCCGGCUCAACUGGGAGGGUGCGCCGAAGACUGGAAGGCUUGAGUAUGGGAGAGGUAAGCGGAAUUCCUGGUGUAGCGGUGAAAUGCGUAGAUAUCAGGAGGAACACCUGCGGUGUAGACGGCUUACUGGACCAUAACUGACGCUGAGGCACGAAAGCGUGGGUAGCAAACAGG
This 253-nucleotide ribosomal RNA is filed under the name uncultured bacterium. RNAcentral describes it as "partial 16S ribosomal RNA". It matches the Rfam family "Bacterial small subunit ribosomal RNA", at positions 524 to 776 of the family's 1533-position model. The record is from RNAcentral.